UAUUAAAAAUUUCAUUCAAUUCUAUUAUUAAAAACUAGCGUGACUGACAAAAUAACUAGACAGUUACACGUGGCAUGCCAUGUGUACCUCAUUCUAACGUACAAUAACCAGUUUUUAAAAGUAGAAAUAGAUGAAAUUUUCAAUU
Molecule: non-coding RNA, 145 nt
Organism: Gossypium arboreum
Lineage: Eukaryota; Viridiplantae; Streptophyta; Magnoliopsida; Malvales; Malvaceae
Source: Rfam